This is a long non-coding RNA of Papaver somniferum (opium poppy), 2146 nucleotides long. RefSeq lists it as uncharacterized. NCBI's taxonomy places the organism in Eukaryota, Viridiplantae, Streptophyta, Magnoliopsida, Ranunculales, Papaveraceae. The record is from RefSeq and is a predicted model, not a curated record. The transcript is spliced from 3 exons.
UCUCUUUCUUCUUUUCUCUACUUUCGUUCUUCUUCUUCUUCUUUUCUUCCGGUCGAUGAAAAUUGAGAAUCAAUUUAUGAGUUCGAGUUAUUAGUAAAUUUGUUAAGAUUCACAAAGGGUUAUUGAUGGUGAUGAUGUUGAUUAACAUUGAAGAAGAAGAAGAUUAAGUUACUGUUGUAAAUCAAAUUAGGAAUUUCUGAAGUCAGGGUUUAUGUAAAAUUGAUGAUGAUUUAGUAUAGUUGGUGGAUGAAAAACCGAGGGGUUGUUAUUGAAUUGAAGAGUUGAAGAUUCUCUGGCGUUGAAUUGAAAAUAAAAGGUAAUUAGGGUUUUUGAGAUAACUGUUUGGAAUUUCGAUUAGUGAUGAAUAAGAAUAAAUUAACGGAUGGGUUUUGAUGAACAUAAAUUAAAGAAGAAGAUUAUGGUUCUUAUUUACAGAUCCAAUCACUGAGAAGACUUUAAUUUCAGAAUUGAGGUAACGGUCUUUCCCUGUAAGUUAGUAAGAUUGUUAUUUGAUUGUUGUGUUUCAAAUUGGUGUUGUUGUGAGAUGAUGAAUUUGGCUGGAUUGUGUUGUUACUAGCAUUCUUGAGUUUGUAUCUCAGUUGAAUGAAGUGAUACUGCAGGUGGUAAUGAAAAUGAUAGUAAUUUGUGGUCUGGUGUUGCUAUGGCCAGUCUAGUGGUGUUAAUGCUAGUGAUGUGUCUGCAAGAUUGAAUUAUGGGUGGAAUGAAGUGUACUUCAAAUUAAAGCUGUAGAUGAGGUUUCAAUUUGUGUUGCAGGUGAUUGUGCUGAACUGAAAAUUGUUGAGUUAUACUAGUGUUGUGUUGCAGAUAUAGAUGUUUGAGGUAGGUGGUAUGUCUGUUGAAUGGUAAUAGUGGAAGGUACUGAAGUCCAGUGAAUUGGAUGGCUGGUUUAACUGAAAUAAGAAGCUUUGAGUGUAUGUGAGAGAUAUGGUGAAAUACAGAAUUGUCGGAGUUGGUAGUGUUGAACUGAACUUGGUGUUGUCUGAGUAGUUGUUAUUGCAGAACUGAAGUUGUAGGUUAUGUGUAUUUUGUUAAGCUCAGAGUUUGGAGAUGUAGGUAAAGUAAAUGUAAUGGAUUGGAUUGUGUGUGUUUGAACUGAUGUUGAUGUUGCAGUUAAGAGUUGAGUUAGCAGUGGAACUGAAAUUAUAAGUGGAUAUGUCAUGGCUAGUUAGAUGAGAUGGCAAUGGUUGUGGUGCUGCUGAUAUGAAUGGAUUAAGGGUAUGUGAGAUAGAGAAGGGAAUUGAAGGUGACUGCAGUUGAGUUUGGUGUUGAUUGUUGUUAGUGAUUGCUGCAAAGCUUGGAACUACUGAACUGCAGUUAUUCUAUUAACAACGAUCGAUUCAAUGGAUGAACCAGUGGAUCGUGGAUCUCGAGGUGUUUUUGGAGAAAUACGCUUGUGAGGAAAAAGUUGCUCAAAAAGUGCUAUUUGGGACCCAUAGGACAUUUUCUAAACAAACCUCUACUUUGGAUAAGGGGCACCUCAAUUGAUAAGGGGCACCCACAUGAUAUUCGCACCCAGGCAGCUGGUUAGGGGGCACUCAUCUUCAUCGUUUGAAAAGUAGUUUUUGGCAGGAAACUGAAACUUUCAGGUGCGACGAGUUCUGGCAAGAUUUUGGGCGAGAUUUCCUCCAAGUUCUUUGAUCAUUUGGAUCGAUAUUAGCCUGACUUAACAAAACAGGGGAGGUACAUGGUCCAUGCAUGUGAAAGAGGAAAUAUUUCUCUUGAUUUUCGUUAAACAAAGAACAAAUAUUCUCAAAUUCUCGGUAUCAAUCUCUUGGCGUUAUUUUGGGAAGUUGUGUGCAGAUUAAGAAAGUAAUAUACCAGGGAUUAUAUCCUAAUUACUAAGGGAGAUUUUGACAACCCAGAGAUGCGUGGAAAAGAUAAAAGGAGAAAGAAAAUCUCGUUGAUUUGUCAGAGGAGUAAUGACGAGAUUUAUUUCAUUUAAUCGAGAGAUUGAAGGUGUUGGUGGUGUAUAAAUAGGUUGUUGGAUUCAUACGAGGGGUUACGAAGAGUUUGGGAAGGAUUUGGAACAUCACAAAGGCGAAACACGAUCACCAGAGAAACCUGUUGUUGCCGUUGAAGAACACGAAGAACAUAGACCCACAGAAGCAGUCGUUUUUGCUACAAU